RNAcentral lists this ribosomal RNA (497 nucleotides) under uncultured bacterium. Its description in RNAcentral is "partial 16S ribosomal RNA". It matches the Rfam family "Bacterial small subunit ribosomal RNA", at positions 28 to 507 of the family's 1533-position model. The record is from RNAcentral.
GAUGAACGCUGGCGGCGUGCCUAAUACAUGCAAGUCGAGCGAACAGAUGAGGAGCUUGCUCCUCUGACGUUAGCGGCGGACGGGUGAGUAACACGUGGAUAACCUACCUAUAAGACUGGGAUAACUUCGGGAAACCGGAGCUAAUACCGGAUAAUAUAUUGAACCGCAUGGAUCAAUAGUGAAAGACGGUUUUGCUGUCACUUAUAGAUGGAUCCGCGCCGCAUUAGCUAGUUGGUAAGGUAACGGCUUACCAAGGCGACGAUGCGUAGCCGACCUGAGAGGGUGAUCGGCCACACUGGAACUGAGACACGGUCCAGACUCCUACGGGAGGCAGCAGUAGGGAAUCUUCCGCAAAGGGCGAAAGCCUGACGGAGCAACGCCGCGUGAGUGAUGAAGGUCUUCGGAUCGUAAAACUCUGUUAUUAGGGAAGAACAAAUGUGUAAGUAACUAUGCACGUCUUGACGGUACCUAAUCAGAAAGCCACGGCUAACUACGUG